UCGGGAAUUUUGGGCAAUGGGCGAAAGCCUGACCCAGCAACGCCGCGUGAAGGAUGAAGUAUUUCGGUAUGUAAACUUCGAAAGAGUAGGAAGAAUAAAUGACGGUACUAUUUAUAAGGUCCGGCUAACUACGUGCCAGCAGCCGCGGUAAUACGUAGGGACCAAGCGUUGUUCGGAUUUACUGGGCGUAAAGGGCGCGUAGGCGGCAAUUCAAGUCAUCUGUGAAAUCUCCGGGCUUAACUCGGAACGGUCAGAUGAUACUGCUUUGCUAGAGUGCAGAAGGGGCAAUCGGAAUUCUUGGUGUAGCGGUGAAAUGCGUAGAUAUCAAGAGGAACACCUGAGGUGAAGACGGGUUGCUGGGCUGACACUGACGCUGAGGCGCGAAAGCCAGGGGAGCAAACGGGAUUAGAUACCCAGGUAGUCCCUGAGCGGGCUGGCAAGGCG
RNAcentral lists this ribosomal RNA (444 nucleotides) under uncultured bacterium. RNAcentral describes it as "bacterial SSU rRNA". It matches the Rfam family "Bacterial small subunit ribosomal RNA", at positions 355 to 822 of the family's 1533-position model. The record is from RNAcentral.